CGCCUUAUACAUGCAAGUCGAACGAAGUAGCAAUACUUAGUGGCAGACGGGUGAGUAACAUGUGGGUAUCUUCCCAUUGGUGAGGAAUAACACGAGGAAACUUGUGCUAAUACCUCAUAAGUCUUUACAGAGAAAGCUUUAUGCGCCAAUGGAUGAGCUCGCACUUGAUUAGUUUGUUGGUGGGGUAAUGGCCUACCAAGACUUUGAUCAAUAGCUGAUCUGAGAGGAUGAUCAGCCACAUUGGGACUGAGACACGGCCCAAACUCCUACGGGAGGCAGCAGUAGGGAAUAUUGCACAAUGGAGGAAACUCUGAUGCAGCGAUGCCGCGUGAGUGAAGAAGGCCCUUGGGUUGUAAAGCUCUUUCGUCGGGGAAGAAAAUGACUGUACCCGAAUAAGAAGGUCCGGCUAACUUCGUGCCAGCAGCCGCGGUAAUACGAAGGGACCUAGCGUAGUUCGGAAUUACUGGGCUUAAAGAGUUCGUAGGUGGUUAAAAAAGUUGGUUGUGAAAUCCCGAAGCUUAACUUCGGAACUGCAAUCAAAACUUUUUAGCUAGAGUAUGAUAGAGGAAAGCAGAAUUUCUAGUGUAGAGGUGAAAUUCGUAGAUAUUAGAAAGAAUACCAAUUGCGAAGGCAGCUUUCUGGAUCAUUACUGACACUGAGGAACGAAAGCAUGGGUAGCGAAGAGGAUUAGAUACCCUCGUAGUCCAUGCCGUAAACGAUGUGUGUUAGACGUUGGAAAUUUAUUUUCAGUGUCGCAGCGAAAGCAAUAAACACACCGCCUGGGGAGUACGAC
Molecule: ribosomal RNA, 793 nt
Filed under: uncultured Pelagibacteraceae bacterium
Lineage: Bacteria; Pseudomonadati; Pseudomonadota; Alphaproteobacteria; Candidatus Pelagibacterales; Candidatus Pelagibacteraceae
Description: bacterial SSU rRNA
Rfam family: Bacterial small subunit ribosomal RNA
Source: RNAcentral